RNAcentral lists this transfer RNA (74 nucleotides) under Acaryochloris sp. CCMEE 5410. Its description in RNAcentral is "tRNA-Leu". It matches the Rfam family "tRNA". Rfam says of the family: Transfer RNA (tRNA) molecules are approximately 80 nucleotides in length. Their secondary structure includes four short double-helical elements and three loops (D, anti-codon, and T loops). The record is from RNAcentral. RNAcentral also lists the same sequence under 4 other names. Lineage: Bacteria; Bacillati; Cyanobacteriota; Cyanophyceae; Acaryochloridales; Acaryochloridaceae.
ACUCCUGUGGCGCAAUUGGCAGACGCAACUGUCUUAAACACAGUUUGUUGUGGGUUCGACUCCCACCAGGAGUA